RNAcentral lists this ribosomal RNA (239 nucleotides) under uncultured bacterium. Its description in RNAcentral is "partial 16S ribosomal RNA". It matches the Rfam family "Bacterial small subunit ribosomal RNA", at positions 69 to 334 of the family's 1533-position model. The record is from RNAcentral.
CCCGUAGCAAUACGGGAGCGGCAGACGGGAUAGUAACACGUGGGAACGUACCUUUCAGUUCGGAACAACCCAGGGAAACUUGGGCUAAUACCGAAUACGCCCGUAAGGGGAAAGAUUUAUCGCUGAAAGAUCGGCCCGCGUCUGAUUAGCUAGUUGGUGGGGUAAUGGCCCACCAAGGCGACGAUCAGUAGCUGGUCUGAGAGGAUGAUCAGCAUCACUGGGACUGAGACACGGCCCAG